UCGCGAAACCUUUGCAAUACACGAAAGUGUGACAGGGUCAUCCCGAGUGCCGACCGCUGAGGUUGGCUUUUACCCAGUCUAGAAAGCUGGGAGAAUAAGGAGAGGGCAAGUCUGGUGUCAGCCGCCGCGGUAAUACCAGCUCUCCGAGUGGUGUGGACGUUUAUUGGGCCUAAAGCAUCCGUAGCUGGCUGAUCAAGUCCCCCGUUAAACCCACCGAUUUAAUCGUUGGCUUGCGGGGGAUACUGUUCGGCUAGGGGACGAGAGAGGCAGACGGUAUUCCCGGGGUAGGGGUGAAAUCCUAUAAUCCCGAGAAGACCACCAGUGGCGAAGGCUGUCUGCUAGAACGCGCCCGACGGUGAGGGAUGAAAGCUGGGGGAGCGAACCGGAUUAGAUACCCGGGUAGUCCCAGCUGUAAACGAUGCAGACUAGGUGUUUGGACGGCCACGUGCCGUUCUAGUGCCGCAGGGAAGCUGUUAAGUCUGCCGCCUGGGGAGUACGAUCGCAAGAUUGAAACUUAAAGGAAUUGGCGGGGG
RNAcentral lists this ribosomal RNA (533 nucleotides) under uncultured archaeon. Its description in RNAcentral is "bacterial SSU rRNA". It matches the Rfam family "Archaeal small subunit ribosomal RNA", at positions 339 to 874 of the family's 1478-position model. The record is from RNAcentral.